CCUUCUGUAUUCUAUUUGCUUCCAGCGUCUUCCAUUUUGCUCAUCACUUUUCUGCUUCUCUUCCUCCCUCUUUCCCUUCCCCUCUCUCUGCCUCAAAUUCAAUCCGAUCAUCUAAAAGCGUAGUUCCUCUAUUGUUCUCCGCCGUUUUCCAGAAAUCGAUCAUUGUUGCUGCUGUAGUAGUCAUCGUCCACGCAGUCCAUCACCGUCCGACCACACAAACCUUAACGGCGGCCGGAGAACCACAGAACCAAGAGUAAAAAAAAAAAGAGAGCGGGAAGCAGCCAAAAUACAGAGAAGAUGGCAAGAGAGAGGAGAAAUGGAAAGCAGACAAACAAAAACCCUGUUGCAAACGUGGUGUGCUAGCGAGAUUUCUCUGUCUUUCACUGCUGGCUGCUCUGGCUUUUUGAUUGUUCAAGAUAUUUCUUUCCGUUUUCUCUCCUGACUUCCCCUUGCAUGCAUAGCCCUGCAUCCCUGCCGCGAUCUCGCCUUCGAUUCCAACAAGUGCGAUCAAUCUGGCCCUUCAAUUCCCCGCAUAAUCCUCCUUUUCCAGGCCUCUCCGCCCAUCUGUCCUGAACGAAACCGUGGAUCGACUGCUUCCCUUGAAAUCAAACCCUAAUUUUGCCCCCAAACGAAUUCGAACCCAGCCAAACUCAAAUCCCUGCAGAUUUUUUUGCCUUUAAAAGGUUUGGAUCGGUGCCGAUUGAUGUUGGAUUUUGUGAGGCUGGAUUUCUUACCUCUAAGAUUUGUUGGUGUUUUCUCUAUAUUGUUAGAUCUGUGGCACGGUGCGUCUCCUUAUCACCACCAAUGGAAGUUUUGAUCAGAAGAGGAGGCACAGGCAACUGGUCAGGAGACUUGGCUCGAUUUUCGACGGGGGACAAAGAUUUAGAUGGUAUACUCUGCUUCUAUUUGUCUAUUUCUUUGUGUAAUUCAAUUCAAUGUGUUUUCAUGAAACUAAAUGCGUUGUAGUGAUACUAAUAUUCAAUUCUCUAGAUGCAUAUGCUUCUCUUUCUGAUCUAGCACAUUUGAUAGAUAAUAAAGCUGUACAAUUGCACAUUCGAUAAAACACCCCGUCUUCCUUUGCUGACAAGCCGAAUGAUUAUGAGCUUCCAAUCCUUUGAGCAAUAUUUUUACCAAUUGUUUUUUUGUUGAGUAAACCAAUUCUUUUUUUAUUAAAGGAAAGAAUGCUUUUACCAAAUUGCUUACAAAAUUCAAACAUACUCACCUAUAUGCAGGUUUUCUAAAAUAUCAUCCUAUUUUUCAAUUCGUAGUCAAUCAAUGGUCCAAAUUGUUCACUUUUAGAAUUUCUUACAAGAAUACAUAUAAUCAGCUAAACCAACAAUUGAUUAGUUGUUCGAUUGUUUUGACAUUUUCAUUACAAUUUUGCCUAAUGAGUUUCGUGAUUUUGUGUAUAUUUUAGGAUUUGAAUGAUUGGUUGCGAGAUUAACUCUUGAAUAUGGAAGUUAAAUAUAAACACAGUUUCGAUCACUAAAAUGCAUUAUGAAAAAUGAGAAUCAAACUUUACAAAGAUAUAAUAAUAAAUAGAACUCCAAAAUACUCGAUUGGACUAGAAUAAUUUAAUACGUUUUGACUUCGUUGGGGGAUGAUCAAAAGAAUUGAAAACAAAGAGAAGAAACAACAAUGAAACAUAAUACAUAGUAGUCAUACUAAUAUUCAAUUCUCUAGAUGUAUAAGAGAUUUGAGGAAUUUUGAGAGCAUGGUGGCUAGCUAAGGUGUUGUUUUAAUGUGUUGUUUUGAGGAUUCUGAAAUCAUGAGAUAGUUGACAUUGUAUGUUAUACUGAAUUAAGAGCACACUUUCAUAUAGAAUUUCAUUUAUCUUAACUCAAUCUAACAUUAGUUCUACCAAUUUUUAUCUGAUUUCUUUUAACAUAUCUCUCUUUUUUUCUCAUUCAAAUAUGCAUUACUGAUGCUUUGUUAUGCACCUAGCUCUUUGCUUCUGUUGCCUACUAUCAUUUUCUACUAUUGUAAUAUAACUUUUUACAUGUUUUAUGUACUUUUAAAACCCGCAGCAACGCGCGGGCUCUUUUACUAGUAUUCACUAUAUCAUGACAAAUUGCUUCUUUGCACACACUUAUUAAUUAAAAUUUAUAUACUGCAAUGUUAGAAAUAUUCUUAUCCAUCCAAUUUAUAAUCCCCCAGUAACACGCGGACAUCACUAUCUAGUUAAUAUCUAAAACUUAAAACAAAUGAAAAUUGAACUAUAAAAAUACAAAAUGAAAAUGGUUGGAAUUUAGCAACUUGUAAAUAUUAGGCAAUGUGAUUUCAAAGGAGAUUGAACUGUGGUUGGACUUAAAUAACUAACAAAUCACAUAUUAAGCUAUACGGAGAAAAUGGUUAUGUAUUCCAUUUUCUUACACUCAAAAAAAAUUCUGGUUUAUUAGAUUUUUUUUUAUUCAUUUUUAGUGACGUGGGAUAAAGUUCCUAAUAUACUCCUAAAUUUAACAAAAAAAAAUGAUGGCGUUAAUGAAAAUGAUCAAUGGUACAACACAUUGUAGAGUUCGAAGACUAAAAAACUAAUAUGAGAGUUUAGAGACCAAAAUUAAACUAGGAGUAACGUUCAGAAACCAUUGGUACAAUCAAGUGUUUCUUAAGAAUAAUCAAAUGGUUGAAAAUCGAAUGGAAUCGUAUAAUAAAUUGGUUCGGCUGUAGUUUUGAGUUUUUAUUUUAGAUGUAUCCUCUUACAGGUUGAAAUAAAAAUGGUUUUCUUUUUUUUUUUUUUUUGAAGCGAAGAUACGAUAUUUAUUAAGUAAAUUAGAAUUCGUACAAAUUGAGGAUAGUGCGCAUAAUGGGCCUCGAAGGAAAAGAGUGUCUUGCACAACAAGAGAACUAUCCUCAAAUGAACAAUGGAAAAGAAUUACAAUCCCUCCCAAAUCUAGAGGCUCCUCAAACCACAUUACCUCCUGAGCACUAUUAAUUUCCAUCCGAGCAAGCUGAUGGGCUGCCGAGUUCCCUUCUCGUUGAAUAUGACUAACCACCGAAUCGACCACUCCAUGAGAAGGCAUCCCAGAUCACUGAUUAUAGGACCUAAGGCAGAGUUGUCGUCCCCAGUCCCCUGCAUGGAAGCCAACACCAACACAGAGUCUACAUCGAACUGAAUCUUCCCCUCCACCGUACAAAUAGUGCCCACCAAUAUUGCAGCUCUACGAGCUACAAAGAAUUCAGCAUGCAAUGCAGAGUUUGCCCUCUCAAUGGGCCCAACAGCAGGGACAAUACACUCCCUCAAAUGACUUCGAAUCACCACCCCAAAACCUCCCCGGUUACUUCUAUUGUUCCAAGCUCCAACGAAGUUGCACUUAACCCAUCCCUCCGCAGGUCUCCCCCACUUCUGAUGCUCUCGGCUUGCCUUCCUCGCCAGUGGCUUGUGCCACUUAUGAAAUUCCUACAUCCAGCCCUCGGUACGAAGCAUAAUUUUAAGCGGCGGUAACCAGAUAAGCAUGUUGAAUUUAAUGUUAGUGAAAUUUUGAAGAUUGACGACAUGUUGAAUUUUGGCCAACAAUAUUGUAAAAAAAGGCAAAAGAAAGAAAAACUAUUAUAAUGUCAUUGGUUUGGUCGCAAUUUUUUUGUGAAACCAAUCCAACCUGAACAAUGCCCGUCCCUAACGUAUAUGAUUAUAAGUGCUUGAAAAUUCCUGCAUACGUUCAUGGUCAUGUGAGACCCACGUGAUUUAACUUGUCACGACUUUAUGUAAUUUUCAAAAAGAGAUCGAGUCAUUUACAAUUUUCAAAUCUUUAACAAUUGAAAUCACUGUUUUAUGGUAAUUAUACAAAAUUACUUUAAUUAUGAGUCGAAUCAUAAUGUCAUGUCUUAUAUUUUACAAAUUACAACUAAUUAGUACUACGUUUUAGUGAUAUUCCUCUUCAGUUGCAAGUGAGAGGUCUUAAAUUCGAUUAUCGCCGAAGGUGAAUUUGAACCACAUUAUUGCUAGCUCAUUGUGAAGCUAAACUCAUCCCCUCUCUCUUAGUGUAGAUAAUAUCGUUUAUUAAAAAAAAAAACUACAAUGUCAUACAUCAUCUUACGAAUUUAUUGUAAUGUCAAAUCCUCCGUCAUUUUUUCUGUUAAUCAUCCCCACCUCCUCUUCUGGACACCAAACCCGAUUGAACCCGCCGUCCCUUCGACCCCAGCUCCAGUGCAACCGCCUCCAUCGAUUUCAAGAUCUCCAAAGCCCUACAGCAACGAUUAGUCCCUAGUAUCGUUGCCAAAGAUGAUGCUAGCUCUGAAUUCGAAUCUAAACCCGAAUCCGACAAACAAGUUUAUUUCUUGUUGAUUUUACUGAAAUUUUUCAUUCAAUCAAUUCAUUAUAUAUAAUUUAAUAAAUUAAGUGUUGGAUCUUCGACAAAGCUCUACACACCCUCCCAAAGAUCUUGGACAAAACACAACAGUGCAUGUGGGUCAAGAGGUGAUGGAUCCAAUGGAAAAAGGGGAAAGGAUGUAGGAUGGAGGAAACAAAGGGAUGAGAAAGCCAUAAUGGAAAGGAAGAAAAUGAAUUGUUUGAAGACAUGUAAUUGAACAAAUAGUGCGGAGAAUAGGAGAAGGAAAGUUGGAAUUGGGGGCUUUCCGGUCUAUAUGACGAAGGAGUUGAGGUUUGGGGUCGGAGAAAAUUUGGUAGAAGAAUAGGAGGAAAAUUAUGCUGAUAAACACACAAAGAAAGGAAAUCGAAAGGAAACCAGGGUUGCCACCAACCCUUGCUAAAGCAAGGGCUGGCGGCUAAUUGAUUUUUCGAAUCUGUAAACUCACAUAGGCGGUGAGAAUAGCUCUCAAUAGAAGAGAAGCUUGAAUAUGUUUUCUUGCUCAAUUUAGGUCCAACAAGAAGCUCAAGUCUUAAAACUGCAUUUAACCUUAAAUCGGAGCGAGUCUUACUUUAAGAGUGCAACUUGUGUCAAACCAAAAUUGAGUUGCAUUGUGGUAUGAUUGGGUUUAGAUUCUAGAAAUGGGCUCUAUAUUUGUCACAUUAAUAAUUUAUUCGUAUCCACGAUGAGAUGUAAUUGUCACGUAUAAUUUUAACAUUUUAAAACUUAAGGCAGUAAUGUAUAAAAAUUGAAAGAUUGUAUUUACUUCAUAGGUAUAAUUUGUACUAAGGAUAGUAAAGGUUAACUGCAACUGUUUAAUUAAUUGGUGAAUUGUCUUGUUUUUUUUUUUUUGUCUCUUUUAUAUCCUUCAAUGUAGACUAAUUUUUUAUUUUUAGCAUGAUUUGCUUUCUAGUUGUUCAUUUUAAAGUUCCAUUUGAGAUUACUUGUAGAAAAUUAAGUGCGCUUCAUGACAAUUAAAUGCGUUGCUAACAAUAUAAUCAAACUCACUUACAUCAGGUAAGCCAAAAGCGUCUACAGUUUCUCCUCAAAG
Malus domestica (apple) is the source of this 5355-nucleotide non-coding RNA. Lineage: Eukaryota; Viridiplantae; Streptophyta; Magnoliopsida; Rosales; Rosaceae. The record is from RefSeq and is a predicted model, not a curated record.